UUAGUGUCGCAUGACACAAAGUUAAAAGGCGCUUUGGCGUCACCUAGAGAUGGAUCCGCGGUGCAUUAGUUAGUUGGUGGGGUAAAGGCCUACCAAGACAAUGAUGCAUAGCCGAGUUGAGAGACUGAUCGGCCACAUUGGGACUGAGACACGGCCCAAACUCCUACGGGAGGCUGCAGUAGGGAAUCUUCCACAAUGGGCGAAAGCCUGAUGGAGCAACGCCGCGUGUGUGAUGAAGGCUUUCGGGUCGUAAAGCACUGUUGUAUGGGAAGAACAGCUAGAAUAGGGAAUGAUUUUAGUUUGACGGUACCAUACCAGAAAGGGACGGCUAAAUACGUGCCAGCAGCCGCGGUAAUACGUAUGUCCCGAGCGUUAUCCGGAUUUAUUGGGCGUAAAGCGAGCGCAGACGGUUGAUUAAGUCUGAUGUGAAAGCCCGGAGCUCAACUCCGGAAUGGCAUUGGAAACUGGUUAACUUGAGUGCAGUAGAGGUAAGUGGAACUCCAUGUGUAGCGGUGGAAUGCGUAGAUAUAUGGAAGAACACCAGUGGCGAAGGCGGCUUACUGGACUGUAACUGACGUUGAGGCUCGAAAGUGUGGGUAGCAAACAGGAUUAGAUACCCUGGUAGUCCACACCGUAAACGAUGAACACUAGGUGUUAGGAGGUUUCCGCCUCUUAGUGCCGAAGCUAACGCAUUAAGUGUUCCGCCUGGGGAGUACGACCGCAAGGUUGAAACUCAAAGGAAUUGACGGGGACCCGCACAAGCGGUGGAGCAUGUGGUUUAAUUCGAAGCAACGCGAAGAACCUUACCAGGUCUUGACAUCCUUUGAAGCUUUUAGAGAUAGAAGUGUUCUCUUCGGAGACAAAGUGACAGGUGGUGCAUGGUCGUCGUCAGCUCGUGUCGUGAGAUGUUGGGUUAAGUCCCGCAACGAGCGCAACCCUUAUUGUUAGUUGCCAGCAUUCAGAUGGGCACUCUAGCGAGACUGCCGGUGACAAACCGGAGGAAGGCGGGGACGACGUCAGAUCAUCAUGCCCCUUAUGACCUGGGCUACACACGUGCUACAAUGGCGUAUACAACGAGUUGCCAACCCGCGAGGGUGAGCUAAUCUCUUAAAGUACGUCUCAGUUCGGAUUGUAGUCUGCAACUCGACUACAUGAAGUCGGAAUCGCUAGUAAUCGCGGAUCAG
Molecule: ribosomal RNA, 1184 nt
Filed under: unidentified
Description: bacterial SSU rRNA
Rfam family: Bacterial small subunit ribosomal RNA
Source: RNAcentral